GGCCUGGUAGCUUAGCCUGGCUAGAGCAUCCGACUGAUACUCUGAAGAUCGCCGGUUCAAAUCCGGUCCGGGCCA
This 75-nucleotide transfer RNA is filed under the name Candidatus Woesearchaeota archaeon. Its description in RNAcentral is "tRNA-Ile". It matches the Rfam family "tRNA". From Rfam's summary of the family: Transfer RNA (tRNA) molecules are approximately 80 nucleotides in length. Their secondary structure includes four short double-helical elements and three loops (D, anti-codon, and T loops). The record is from RNAcentral. Lineage: Archaea; Nanobdellati; Candidatus Woesearchaeota.